UGGAUAUCGUUUGUCAAACCACCACGAAUCCUGAAACAAUUGUAAAGACGGAUGCUGCAUGACACUGUUUAACUGCUAGUGGCGGAUUAGACAAUCUCCCCAAAAGUGCUGUGAGUUGGCUUCUCCUGCGUCGGCGAACUAUGACCCCGAUGGCUCCAAAGACCCUCUCAAGUUUUACCCACACAGCCACAAAGUAAGCUUCCCUUUUCCUCUCAAAUCUAUCUGGGCACAGGACAACAUGACGUCGUAAUUUCUGUGCAAUAAUCGUAAAACCUGGCAUGGAUAAAUCUCAAGAGUGAUAUCAACCGACUGAACUAUGAGUUUUGAUAUUCAUUGUUCAGUAUGCGGGAGUUGAAGUGAUGGAAUCUCGUGCAAACUGAACUAGGGACCUAAUACAGGGAAAGUGGCAUUCAUGGGCUUCGGAAAUGGCCGUCGUAUUUGCCCCAGUGCUGACUUGACUCGCUCGGAAAUGCCCGUCUUUCUCCAUUUCAUUAGUUCACGUAAGCAUCAUCAUGUUUCCUUUUCAAACCAGAAUCUUCUGGAUUGAACGCGUAUUUAAGAGUCUCAAAAGAAUACUUUCCAUAGUCUGGCUUCGAUUCCAAACAAUUAGUAGAUCAGAGAUUGGACUGCACCACAACAGUGGAAAAUGUGAUCUCGAUUCCAAAAGGACAAUCUAUAGUAUACCCAGUUGAAACCGUGUUAAACAAUGACAAAAGAAAGCACAGCCACAGUUAUUCAUCUCAUAUACUAGAACUCGAACUUGCGAGGCCUCACUCAGUAGUUCAGUUAAAGAAGUUUGCACAGAAUUAUAGAUCGCAAACAUGCAAGCAUGCGCCUCAAUUCCUUUGCAUGUAUAGUCGUACGCAUCUGAAGAUAAGCAAAAAGAAGCCUUUGUUGAAAGAGUGACUUGUACUCAUAAUCCAAAAGCCUUUACAUUAUCAAAUUAGAAGCUUCAAUAACACAAACUCUCUUAUUACUGGUGUGUGUGUGGGGGGGGGGGAUGCACAGGCAACCUCAAUUCAAUUUACAAAUGACAAAAUAUAAGCUACAAAUCUAUCGUUUUUGGCAAGAUCUCAAACCCUGCAUUGUACAAAGGCCAAUACCCCACUCCAUGUAGAUGUCCAUUGACCCAAAGCAUCGUCCCUGCGAGAACGUGCACAAGCUACGGCUACUGCAAGAAAUAUCCAGAAAGAAAGAGGGCAAAGAAAAAUAGCAGGGAGCCGUAGAUCAAGAGACUUUUCUGUCCCGACGUCAAGGUGUUCCCGCCCAACCCGAAUUGUUGAUUUUGAGCGAAACCAGCCACCUCUACACUCUUAGGUUGGAAGUAGCCUUUGGCAGCACCGCAUGUGGGACAGAGCCAAUCUUCCGGAAGAUCACGGAAUAGUGUGCCUGCAGCCACAGGGUAUGAUGAGUCUCCCUUCGCUUCCUCGUAUACAUGUCCACACGAUCGGCACGCGUAUGCGCCGGUGUUGAGUACGGC
This 1480-nucleotide long non-coding RNA is filed under the name Physcomitrium patens. RNAcentral describes it as "long non-coding RNA (PPAT_LNC001210)". Lineage: Eukaryota; Viridiplantae; Streptophyta; Bryopsida; Funariales; Funariaceae. The record is from RNAcentral.